This 468-nucleotide ribosomal RNA is filed under the name uncultured bacterium. RNAcentral's name for it is "partial 16S ribosomal RNA". It matches the Rfam family "Bacterial small subunit ribosomal RNA", at positions 28 to 507 of the family's 1533-position model. The record is from RNAcentral.
GAUGAACGCUGGCGGCGUGCUUAACACAUGCAAGUCGAACGGAAAGGCCCUGCUUUUGUGGGGUGCUCGAGUGGCGCACGGGUGAGUGACACGUGAGUAACCUGCCCUUGUCUUUGUGAUAACUUCAGGAAAAUGGGGCUCAUACAGGAUAGGAGCUCCUGCUGCGUGGUGGGGGUUGGAAAGUUUCGGCGGUUGGGGCUGGACUAGCGGCUUAUCAGCUUGAUGGGGGAGUAGUGGCUUACCAAGGUGUGGAAGGGUAGCCGGCCUGAGAGGGUGACCGGCCACAUUGGGACUGAGAUACGGCCCAGAUUCGUACGGGAGGGAGCAGGGGGGAAGAUUGCACAAGGAGCGGAAGCCGGAUGCAGCAACGCCGCGUGCGGGAUAACGGCCUUCGGGUUGUAAACCGCUUGCGCCUGUAACGAAGCGUGAGUGACGGUAACGGGUAAAGAAGCACCGGCUAACUACGUG